AGAGUUUGAUCCUGGCUCAGGACGAACGCUGGCGGCGUGCCUAACACAUGCAAGUCGAACGGGGUCAAUAGCUUCGGUUAUUGACCUAGUGGCGGACUGGUGAGUAACGCGUGAGCAACCUGCCUUUCAGAGGGGAAUAACGCAGAGAAAUUUGCACUAAUACCGCAUAACGUGUUGAAGCUGCAUGGCUUUAACACCAAAGGAGAAAUCCGCUGAAAGAUGGGCUCGCGUCCGAUUAGACCGUUGGUGAGGUAACGGCCCACCAAAUCUACGAUCGGUAGCCGGACUGAGAGGUUGAACGGCCACAUUGGGACUGAGAUACGGCCCAGACUCCUACGGGAGGCAGCAGUGAGGGAUAUUAGGCAAUGGGGGAAACCCUGACCUAGCAACGCCGCGUGAAGGAUGAAGGUUUUCGGAUUGUAAACUUCUUUGACGAGGGACGAUAAUGACGGUACCUCGAAAACAAGCCACGGCUAACUACGUGCCAGCAGCCGCGGUAAUACGUAGGUGGCAAGCGUUGUCCGGAUUUACUGGGUGUAAAGGGCGUGUAGGCGGGUAAGCAAGUCAGAUGUGAAAUGCGGAGGCUCAACCUCCGAGCUGCAUUUGAAACUGCAGAUCUUGAGUGAUGGAGAGGUAAGCGGAAUUCCCAGUGUAGCGGUAAAAUGCGUAGAUAUUGGGAGGAACACCGGUGGCGAAGGCGGCUUACUGGACAUUAACUGACGCUGAGGCGCGAAAGUGUGGGGAGCAAACAGGAUUAGAUACCCUGGUAGUCCACACUGUAAACGAUGGAUACUAGGUGUGGGGGGGACUGACCCCUUCCGUGCCGGAGUUAACACAAUAAGUAUCCCACCUGGGGAGUACGGUCGCAAGAUUAAAACUCAAAGGAAUUGACGGGGACCCGCACAAGCAGUGGAGUAUGUGGAUUAAUUCGAUGCAACGCGAAGAACCUUACCAAGGCUUGACAUCCUACUGACGAAGUAGAGAUACAUUAGGUGCCCCUCGGGGAAAGUAGAGACAGGUGGUGCAUGGUUGUCGUCAGCUCGUGUCGUGAGAUGUUGGGUUAAGUCCCGCAAUCGAGCGCAACCCCUGCGGUUUGUUGCUACGGAAGAGCACUCUAGCCGGACUGCCGUUGACAAAACGGAGGAAGGUGGGGAUGACGUCAAAUCAUCACGCCCUUUAUGUCUUGGGCUUCACACGUACUACAAUGGCACGGAACAAAGAGCAGCGAACCUGUGAAGGCAAGCGAAUCUCGAAAAGGUGCCCCAGUUCAGAUUGCAGGCUGCAACUCGCUUGCAUGAAGCCGGAAUUGCUAGUAAUCGCGGAUCAGCAUGCCGCGGUGAAUACGUUCCCGGGUCUUGUACACACCGCCCGUCA
Molecule: ribosomal RNA, 1374 nt
Filed under: uncultured bacterium
Lineage: Bacteria
Description: 16S ribosomal RNA
Rfam family: Bacterial small subunit ribosomal RNA
Source: RNAcentral